GACGAACGCUGGCGGCGUGCUUAACACAUGCAAGUCGAACGGAAAGGCCCUGCUUGCAGGGUACUCGAGUGGCGAACGGGUGAGUAACACGUGGGUGAUCUGCCCUGCACUUCGGGAUAAGCCUGGGAAACUGGGUCUAAUACCGGAUAGGAGCCAUUUUUAGUGUGAUGGUUGGAAAGUUUUUUCGGUGUAGGAUGAGCUCGCGGCCUAUCAGCUUGUUGGUGGGGUAAUGGCCUACCAAGGCGGCGACGGGUAGCCGGCCCGAGAGGGUGGACGGCCACAAUGGGACUUGGAGACGGCCCAGACUCCUACGGGGGGCAGCAGGGGGGAAUAUUGCACAAUGGGCGCAAGCCCGAUGCAGCGACGCCGCGGGGGGGAUGACGGCCUUCGGGUUGGAAACUCCCUUCGCUAGGGACGAAGCUUUUUGUGACGGUACCUAGAUAAGAAGCACCGGCUAACUACGUG
RNAcentral lists this ribosomal RNA (465 nucleotides) under uncultured bacterium. RNAcentral's name for it is "partial 16S ribosomal RNA". It matches the Rfam family "Bacterial small subunit ribosomal RNA", at positions 28 to 507 of the family's 1533-position model. The record is from RNAcentral.